UGGGGAAUAUUGCACAAUGGGCGCAAGCCUGAUGCAGCGACGCCGCGUGGGGGAUGACGGCCUUCGGGUUGUAAACUCCUUUCGCUAGGGACGAAGCUUUUUGUGACGGUACCUAGAUAAGAAGCACCGGCUAACUACGUGCCAGCAGCCGCGGUAAUACGUAGGGUGCGAGCGUUGUCCGGAAUUACUGGGCGUAAAGGGCUCGUAGGUGGUUUGUCGCGUCGUCUGUGAAAUUCCGGGGCUUAACUCCGGGCGUGCAGGCGAUACGGGCAUAACUUGAGUACUGUAGGGGUAACUGGAAUUCCUGGUGUAGCGGUGAAAUGCGCAGAUAUCAGGAGGAACACCGAUGGCGAAGGCAGGUUACUGGGCAGUUACUGACGCUGAGGAGCGAAAGCAUGGGUAGCGAAAAGG
RNAcentral lists this ribosomal RNA (411 nucleotides) under Actinomycetes bacterium. Its description in RNAcentral is "Actinobacteria bacterium partial 16S ribosomal RNA". It matches the Rfam family "Bacterial small subunit ribosomal RNA", at positions 355 to 776 of the family's 1533-position model. Lineage: Bacteria; Bacillati; Actinomycetota; Actinomycetes. The record is from RNAcentral.